AGACCCGAAACCCGGUGAUCUAGCCAUGGGCAGGUUGAAGGUUGGGUAACACUAACUGGAGGACCGAACCGACUAAUGUUGAAAAAUUAGCGGAUGACCUGUGGCUGGGGGUGAAAGGCCAAUCAAACCGGGAGAUAGCUGGUUCUCCCCGAAAGCUAUUUAGGUAGCGCCUCGUGAACUCAUCUCCGGGGGUAGAGCACUGUUUCGGCUAGGGGGCCAUCCCGGCUUACCAACCCGAUGCAAACUGCGAAUACCGGAGAAUGUUAUCACGGGAGACACACGGCGGGUGCUAACGUCCGUCGUGAAGAGGGAAACAACCCAGACCGCCAGCUAAGGUCCCAAAGUCAUGGUUAAGUGGGAAACGAUGUGGGAAGGCCCAGACAGCCAGGAUGUUGGCUUAGAAGCAGCCAUCAUUUAAAGAAAGCGUAAUAGCUCACUGGUCGAGUCGGCCUGCGCGGAAGAUGUAACGGGGCUAAACCAUGCACCGAAGCUGCGGCAGCGACACUUUAGUGUUGUUGGGUAGGGGAGCGUUCUGUAAGCCGUUGAAGGUGUCCUGUGAGGGGUGCUGGAGGUAUCA
RNAcentral lists this ribosomal RNA (577 nucleotides) under Salmonella enterica. RNAcentral describes it as "partial 23S ribosomal RNA". It matches the Rfam family "Bacterial large subunit ribosomal RNA", at positions 711 to 1284 of the family's 2925-position model. Lineage: Bacteria; Pseudomonadati; Pseudomonadota; Gammaproteobacteria; Enterobacterales; Enterobacteriaceae. The record is from RNAcentral.